Long non-coding RNA from Homo sapiens (human), 540 nucleotides. NCBI's taxonomy places the organism in Eukaryota, Metazoa, Chordata, Mammalia, Primates, Hominidae. The record is from Ensembl.
GCACUCCAGACAGCCAGAAAGCAGCGAGUCGGAAUGUUGCUUGCCUCCCUCUUAUCCCAGCCGGUUUUUAGCCAUCGCUAAGCCUAGGGCGAGGUUUCGGUCCGGUUUCAGCGUUUCUCCUCUACCUAGCCCCCUGAGGACCCCAGAUUUCUCGCGGUACAGAUCCAGAGAGGGUGGGCGAGCCGGGCACUCCCGCCUUUCCUCUGCACAGCGCCCAGCGAUCCGCUCGGCUCGGCCCUGACAGGCGUAAUCUGCCCGGCGUCACCUCCAGCUGCUUCCUCGUUCUCGCUAGUUCCCUCUCGCACGCGAGCGCCAGGAGAAGAGAGAGAUUCGGAGAGGCGGCUGCACGGCUCCGGGGAGACGAGCGGCGGUUUUGCCUCAGUGCUUUUCCCCGGGGUUCCCCCAGAUCUGUGACCCUGCGACGCUUCCUUGAGCGAAAGCGCGCUUUGGGUCGUGUCCUCGUUGGCUCUCUACGGAGCUGGGAUUGUUGUAACCGCAAAGGAGGCAGAAAUGAGGGGAGACCUCUUAGACCAUGGAGGA